This is a non-coding RNA of Pelobates cultripes (western spadefoot toad), 379 nucleotides long. The record is from the annotation of a GenBank genome assembly. Lineage: Eukaryota; Metazoa; Chordata; Amphibia; Anura; Pelobatidae.
AGUGACAGUCACCACCUCCCUCACUCUGUCACUAGUCACCCCCUCACUCUAGUGACAAUGAGGGAGGGGGUGACUAGUGACAGAGUGAGGGAGGGAAGUGGUGACUAGUGACAGAGUUAGGGAGGGAAGGGGUGACUAGUGACAAAGUGAGGAAGGGGUGACUAGUGACAGAGUGAGGGAGGGAAGGGGGUGACUAGUGACAGUCACCACCUCCUUCACUCUGUCACUAGUCACCCCCUCCCUCACUCUGUCACUGUGUCACCCCCUUCCUCACUCUGUCACUGUGUCACCCCCUUCCUCACUCUGUCACUAGUCACCCCCUUCCUCACUCUGUCACUAGUCACCCUCUCUCUCACUCUGUCACUAGUCACCCCGUCCC